RNAcentral lists this ribosomal RNA (450 nucleotides) under uncultured bacterium. RNAcentral describes it as "bacterial SSU rRNA". It matches the Rfam family "Bacterial small subunit ribosomal RNA", at positions 29 to 524 of the family's 1533-position model. The record is from RNAcentral.
AACGAACGCUGGCGGCAUGCCUAACACAUGCAAGUCGAACGAAGCCUUCGGGCUUAGUGGCGCACGGGUGCGUAACGCGUGGGAAUCUGCCCUUGGGUUCGGAAUAACAGUUAGAAAUGACUGCUAAUACCGAAUGAUGUCUUCGGACCAAAGAUUUAUCGCCCAAGGAUGAGCCCGCGUCGGAUUAGCUAGUUGGUGAGGUAAGGGCUCACCAAGGCGACGAUCCGUAGCUAGUCUGAGAGGAUGAUCAGCCACACUGGGACUGAGACACGGCCCAGACUCCUACGGGAGGCAGCAGUGGGGAAUAUUGGACAAUGGGCGAAAGCCUGAUCCAGCAAUGCCGCGUGAGUGAUGAAGGCCUUAGGGUUGUAAAGCUCUUUUACCCGGGAUGAUAAUGACAGUACCGGGAGAAUAAGCCCCGGCUAACUCCGUGCCAGCAGCCGCGGUAAU